AGUGAACGCUGGCGGUAGGCCUAACACAUGCAAGUCGAACGGCAGCACAGGAGAGCUUGCUCUCUGGGUGGCGAGUGGCGGACGGGUGAGGAAUACAUCGGAAUCUACUUUUUCGUGGGGGAUAACGUAGGGAAACUUACGCUAAUACCGCAUACGACCUACGGGUGAAAGCAGGGGAUCUUCGGACCUUGCGCGAUUGAGUGAGCCGAUGUCGGAUUAGCUAGUUGGCGGGGUAAAGGCCCACCAAGGCGACGAUCCGUAGCUGGUCUGAGAGGAGGAUCAGCCACACUGGAACUGAGACACGGUCCAGACUCCUACGGGAGGCAGCAGUGGGGAAUAUUGGACAAUGGGCGCAAGCCUGAUCCAGCCAUACCGCGUGGGUGAAGAAGGCCUUCGGGUUGUAAAGCCCUUUUGUUGGGAAAGAAAUCCAGCUGGUAAAUACCCGGUUGGGAUGACGGUACCCAAAGAAUAAGCACCGGCUAACUUCGUGCCAGCCGCCGCGGUAA
RNAcentral lists this ribosomal RNA (506 nucleotides) under uncultured bacterium. RNAcentral's name for it is "partial 16S ribosomal RNA". It matches the Rfam family "Bacterial small subunit ribosomal RNA", at positions 29 to 523 of the family's 1533-position model. The record is from RNAcentral.